AGAACUUGUGUUUCUUUUUCUUUCCCCAAAGAAAUUUUCACUUCUAGGAACUUAGGGAUUUGUUAAGUCGGUUACUAACUAGCUUCUUCCCAUACCUAUGCAAUGCCAUAUGUAAGAAAAUUCAAGCAGGAAAAAUUGGUUUGGCUUAAAAAUUAAAUUCCUCUUUAUUAUAAGGAAAACAGGAGGUCCCACUAUAAAUUCCCUCUAAAUCAAUCCAUAAAAGGAACAUAACAUUACUAACCUUGGGACGCCUUCAUUUAUGACUGUUUCUUUUAUUCUCAUCUAUGUUUCCAUCACCAUGUCUAAAUGAAGAUAUCAGUUUCUUUAUAACAUAGUUCUACUACAUAUUUAAUAAUAAUAUGUUGAUGUCCACUUAAUAGUUUACAAUAAAAUCUAUCUUCUGAGAAUGACAAAAACAAACUUGGAGUCAAAGACUCAAGUAGUAGAACCCACGAGGAUGUCAGUAAAGAAAGUGUUCUUCUGGCUCUUCUGGCUGUAACAUCACCUGAGCUACAUUAAGUGAGCUUGAGAUUCUAGGGCCACAGUUUAUCUCCUGAACUACCUCUGACUCCCUUGCUGUCUUUGCACCCUGACUCAGGAGAGGCAGCUAAUCUUUUCAUCAUGUAGGAAGCACACUCUCAGAAAACAGCUGCACUUAACUGCUGGAUCCAAAUGGAGCAUGCCACUCUUGGCCUUUGGCAGAAAAUGUCUCUGGUUCCCAAAAUAAACCUAACCACAGGGUUAAGAUUUUCCCAUAAUUGAAGACUACUGAGAGAAAGCAUUGGUGGUGUGAGGGAUGAUAGACAUUUAAACCCACUGUACUCAACAAUUUGGGUUUAUUUUGUAGUCACAUUGGUUAUGCAGAGAACACUUGACCUUUGAGGAUCCAGACUCCCAUGAUAAGGUGUUAA
This 911-nucleotide long non-coding RNA is filed under the name Mus musculus (house mouse). Its description in RNAcentral is "long non-coding RNA chr18:26026201-26027112". The record is from RNAcentral. Lineage: Eukaryota; Metazoa; Chordata; Mammalia; Rodentia; Muridae.